AGCCGACGCCUGCUGAAUAGGCGGUUUCGUCCAAAACAUGCAAAAGGCCGCCUUUCGGGGCGGCCUUUUUUGUUGCAGGCA
RNAcentral lists this unclassified non-coding RNA (81 nucleotides) under Parahoeflea halophila. RNAcentral's name for it is "Hoeflea halophila suhB". Lineage: Bacteria; Pseudomonadati; Pseudomonadota; Alphaproteobacteria; Hyphomicrobiales; Rhizobiaceae. The record is from RNAcentral.